UACAGAGGGUGCAAGCGUUGUUCGGAAUUAUUGGGCGUAAAGGGCGCGUAGGCGGUGCGGUAAGUCUGCGGUGAAAUCUCCCGGCUCAACUGGGAGGGGUCAUUCGAUACUGGCGGGCUCGAGGCCGGUAGGGGGAAGCGGAAUUCCCGGUGUAGUGGUGGAAUGCGUAGAUAUCGGGAGGAACACCAGUGGCGAAGGCGGCUUCCUGGACCGGUUCUGACACUGAGGAGCGAAAGCGUGGGGAGCGAUCCGG
RNAcentral lists this ribosomal RNA (253 nucleotides) under uncultured bacterium. RNAcentral describes it as "partial 16S ribosomal RNA". It matches the Rfam family "Bacterial small subunit ribosomal RNA", at positions 524 to 776 of the family's 1533-position model. The record is from RNAcentral.